UCACCUGCUCAUCCAUUCAGAUUUUCUGACUGUCCAUUUAGAAAGGUUGGGGCAGAUCAUCCUGCUCUCUGUCCAAGGAUUUCAUAUGACCCCAGAGGAUUUUGGUUCAUAUCCCAUUAUCAUAAUGUUAGUUUAAAAAUUGCCAGACUAUGACAUGGAUUUAGGAUAGCUUCAAACAACAGAAAUAAACCUGGUGAGUACUCUCAGUCUGCUGUAUGUAUGGGCAGACUAUGAGUUGAUGUGUAGGCAACAGUACUGUCCAACUUGUCACUGUGGGCACCCCUGUGAUGACACCCCUGUGAUGACACCCCUGUGAUGACACCCCUGUGAUGGGUGCUGUCUGAGCAGAGGUUUUGAUUAGUGACUGAACAGGUUGGUGCUUACCUUAGCCUACAAAAUAAAAUAAAAUAAAAUAAAAUAAAAUAAAAUAAAAUGAGAUGAAAUAGAUGCUUCUUGUAUUCGAGUCUUAAAAACUCCUUUUUUUGAAAAUGAUGCUCUAUUUCUCUCUGAGCAUGCAGGCUUCUCUUCCACAUAGGUUGAGGAAGUCUUGUUAAGACCCAGGCAUCACCAUCAAGUGCCUUGUAACACAGAGAGAAGAAUAGCAAAUUCAUGUGGAUGGUAAGCAGAAGGAGCAUGACAGGAAAAGGUCAAGAGAUUCUUAGAAUGUUCUAGAAUAUGUAAUAAGACCAUAGAAUGGAAAAAAGUCCCAAAGUAUACCUGAAAAAGAAGCCAAACUGUUGAUGGUUGCAGGUGAGCAUGAUUGCUUAUCUAAGAAAUGGUAUGUGGUUUACAAAAGAAGGGGGGAGGGCUAGAAGCGAUAACAAGUUCACACAGAUUCCAUAAGCAAAGGUCAAUAGAAUUUCAAACAACUCAGAAGGUGAAAUGUUCAAACUAUUGUUUUGUGGCAGUAAGCAUUGGCUUAUUUUGAUAUUUGGAUAUUGUGGUGAGCAUGCUACAUCAGAACCAUAGACAUUGACGCAGACAAAGAUAUUUGUGUCUUUCCACAGGGCCAGAAUUUAUUGUAUAGCAACAGAUUCAUAGAGUGUGGCAGUCGUCCUGUUCCAGUGGCUGGAGACUGGGACAGGCGUUUCCAAGUUCUUAGUGCCCCACUCAAAAGGAAAACACAGGUCCCAAGGGAACAUUAUCCAAAGCUAAGCAAGGUACAGCUCAGAUAUGCUAUCAAAAGUGACAGUGGGCCACACAAGUGAGAUAAUUCGGGGGUGUUCCUUUUAUGUGGGUUUGAGAGAGAAGAGCUUUGCUGCUAAGAGAGAGAGCAUGGGAGGUUGUCUGUUUUCAUUGACAGGCUUGGAUUAAAACAGCCUUUACUCACUGUCUAUGUGUCCCUUCCUACAAUGUAUCCAACUUUAAUAAUAUAUACUCUCCAUGAUGCCUAAGCAUGAGAUCAUAAGAGGGGACUCUCCCUAAAAGUUCACUCAGAGGACACAAUUUACUUCAUUGUGCAUGCAUGCAAAACUGGUUCAGACUGGAUCGGCCCAUUGUCUGUAGUUCCUGGAUACAUUUCAAGAUGUGUUUGGGUGGAAAUGGGGUGUUGUCAAGCAGUUACCAAUGGGAGUAGAUUAUUUCUGUUAUUUAAAGCAGAUAUAUGGACAUCCUGAUACAGGGGACUUCCAGAUUGCCAACAGGUUGCUAGAUUUCUUUUUCAGAAGGGCGUGUGUAUAGCCCAAGCCAACUGGAGUACCUGGUUGAUAAAUUAUUCCCUAUUUCCCAUUAUUUGCCUCAGAGGCACAGGCAAAAACAAUUUCUCUUAUUCCAAUAUUAAUUACUAAUUAACUCUCAGAUCACACAUUACACACAGUAGAUCUCUCUCAUCUCCCCCCAUACACACACAUUAUAAAAUGGUGAUAAAGGGUUAAGAUGUAUGCUAGUUACUUUUCUAUUGCUGUGAUAAAACACCAAGACCAAGGCAUAUUAUAAAAGAAAGGGUACGUUUAGGUUUGCCAUCCCAGAGGGCUAAGUAUCCAUCAGCCUUCCCUUCAGGAAGCUGUAGGCAUAACAGCUGGAGCAGGAAGCUGAGGGCUUAUAUGUGAACAUUUAGAUGCCUGUAAACUUUCAUUUUCACCCCUCAGAUAAUUAAAUAUUGAGAAAUCGGGCCUGGCACCACACAGGCGGUCAAUAGUUAGGAAAACAACUUCUGCCUUGGACCCUAUUCAUUCAAUAAUUGAUUAGUCAUUUUCGAUCAUUUCAAUGAAUUUGAUGUCUUUGCUUUACUUUAAAAAACAAAAGACCGUGGAGGGAGAUUUAAAAAAGAAAUAUGUGCCUGUGUAUCUCUGUGUGGGGAUAUCCAUGUGAGUUCAAUGAUGGAGAAGACCAGAAAAGGUUGUAGGAUACCCUAAAGCUGGAGUUACAGGCAGGUGGGACCCACCCUAUGUGAAUGCUGGGAAUUGAACUCCAAAAUAGCACUAUGCACUCUUACUCAUAGAACUCUCUUCCAGCCUUACAAUUUCCAUUUAGAUUGUGUGUGUGUGUGUAUGUGUGUGUGUGUGUGUGUGUGUGUUUAUUCAACAACAUGUAACAUUGACACCUGUGCAAAGUGGCCAUUUUGCCUUUUCCUGAGCUAAUGGUUUCAAAGUGAUUGUGAGACUGGUGGUGUGGGAGUUCUCCAGGGUUAGCCUCAACUAGUAGAGAGCUCAAGGAGCAAAAGGAGAGAAAAGGAUGGAACCAUUACUGAAGUUUUAAAGUCUUAAAGAAUCAAUUAAAAUCAAGCACUGUGGGAAAACCUUGCUAAUUAAGGUAGAUGUCUACCGUUGUCCAGACAGCCUUCUGGGCUUGGUGCAACAUGGAGGACUCCUUUUGCUAGCAGGGCUUCCCCUUCUCUGACCUUAACCUCCAUACACCCUAUACCUGCAGAAUAUCCAUAGCCUUAGUUAGAUAACAAGUUCAACUUCUUUUCUCCCAAUAGGAACGCGGUCAGCUAGCACCUGAGAUUCCCGGAGUGCUUGACAAUGCUAAGGAAGCGUUUUGGUAACUUAAGCCUUCAGCCAAUGACCUUUGCCCAUCUUGAAUAUUCCUACCCCGCUCGUCCCCAAAACUAUAUUAUAAUCCUCGAAUCAUCCCAAGUAAAGUUGAUCUGCCCCCUGAUGCUGGUCCCCAUGUCAUCAUUACUCACAGGCCUUCUGGAUCCUCAUAGUCUCUGUCCUAUCUGCGGACUGAUAUUCACCAAAUAUCCCUUGGGGUUGGGAGGGUCCCAAGGCACUUGGAAACUUUAGAGUGGCAACUGUCCUUAAAAAAAUGUCAACUGGGGAAAAGGCACCCUCUGCCUAGGCAGCAUUCUACCAGCACAUUCUCUGGAACAAUUUCCCCUUUGCAGUUUGGCAAAUGCUUGCCAGAGAGCCACUUUCUCAGAGGUGUGGAUGCUGCAUAAGAUAGAUGGAGCCUUCCCGAAGAACAUGAUGGAGAGAUCCAAAGAUACCCUGUGCUCCUGUGGGCACCGUCAGUGUGUACAGACCUCAGAGUGCCUGGGUUCAUCAUGUACACAUUAGAUGUGCUAUGAACUCUUAGCCAAAUUCAAUGCCAGUGUUUGGAAUGAAUCUGAAAAUGAGGAUUAGAAAUGUGGAACUAGUCUUGCUGUUCCUGGGGGAGAAAAUGUUUCAUAAAGCAACAAAAAUUAAAAUUCAUUAGUUCUCCUAAGUAGCCCAAGAACACAACUAAGAAUGAUCCCAAACUCACAUGAAAAUAUCACUUAUAAUUAAGUGACUGAGUAUUUAGGAAAAAAAGAAGCAAACAAGAAGCAAUCUUGAGUAUUUAUUUACCCCACUCUGUAUACCAAAUAUUUAAAUGUUUUUUUUAAAUCUACAAACAUUGUAGGGUACAAAAUCAAUCCAACUUCAUAUAUAAUAUUUUGUGCUAGAGUGAACUUUGUAAAUGGUAUAAGCCAGGAAUUCGUAAGGCACACCAAGAAGACAAGCUGGCCACCCAUCCAAUGAAGUCAACAUCUGUCUGAGAAAAGACUGUCAACAAAGCAAACCAACAUGCUUUGGGAGAGGGAAUUGUAAUAACAUGGCAGGAAAAACAACCAGGCUAAUUUCUUUGAUUUGUAAUGAGUUCAAAUAAAUAUUAUAGUCAAAGUUAGAUUAUUUAAACAAGAAAAGAGUUAGGGGGUACAUACAGGGUACCGAUGGCUGUGGAAAUGGAAGGCUUCCCCAAAUGCUGGCAAGUUUGUCUUCACCAUCUCACAUGCCAAGAAUUUCACUCUUGCCCCUCAGAGUGCACGUCCCUACUUCUUAGUUUUCUCAUGUUUGUUGCUGAUUAUUGAACAACAGAAGGAUGGGGAACACAUGUGUCUCUCUGUUUUUAAUUACGCCUAACUGCAAUGAUCGUAAUUAGCUUCGUUAUCUAAGCAUUGCUAAGCUUCCUCAGUUUCUCAAAUCAAGUCACACCAGCAAAUGAACAAGGAAACAGGUUUGUUCUCAGAGGGUUGAUGACUGAUCAGGACAUCAGGGCUCCUGCCUGAAGGACAGAGAGAUUAAGUUGUUACCUUCUGAAAGGUUCCUCUCUAAUCUCCAUUUUUCUGUCCUCAUGGUCCACCUCUGAAAUUCCCACAAUUGGUAGGGAGCUUCUCUCAGGAGGAGGAAUUAAUGUCCUUUAGAAGGUUCUGUUCACACAUUGAUAAAAAAAACUGGCUAUUCUCUCUCUCUCUCUCUCUCUCUCUCUCUCUCUCUCUCUCUCUCUCUCCACGAGAAAAGAGAGAGAACAUUGUUUACUCGCAUAUUUAAAUUGUAGAAUCCGAUGUCAGCUUCAGCAAUGGCUGCUCAAUUUUUUUCUUUGCUUUUAAAAUUUGUUUGUUUGUAUGAGACAGGGUUUUGCUAUGUACUACAAGCUGGGCUUAAACCAGUGGCAAUGGUAUCUCAGCCUCCCAAAUGCUGUGAUUACAGACUUGAGCCAGCAUUCCUGCAUGGAAUCCUACAUGUCUUUGUAUCUUAGAGAUCCUUCAAGGUGGACUUUUGGGGACUCUCUUUUUUGAAAAACCUAUGUCUUACAGGGUUUUUUCUAAACCUGUGUUUAGAUUUCACUUUAAUUUUUUAACCUGUGUUUAACUUUUUUCUCUAAUAAAUUCCAACAUUUUCCAAAACAACUUAUGGGCAUCUGGAACAUUUUAAGACACUCCUGGUCCACAUAGUGAGUGGUGGGUGCCACAGGCCAUUGGUCCAGAAACUCCCAACACCCUGCCGUGGGGAGUCUUCACAGGGAAUAGUGUAAGUGUAUUCUUGUACUUGGGAGUCCCUCUGAAGUGACAGCAGGUGGAAAAACCAUCUUGACCACCCUUCAACCUAGCUGUUCAUCAUAGAUAUGGCAUACAUGAUUUUUUAAAUGCAUUCAUUGUACAUUGUAUUUCAGUGUAGCCAUUUUCUUUUGCUGUAUCAUACAUUAGAAGCUGAAAACCACAUUCACUCUCUUCCUUGGGACACACAGGAGAUUGUCCCCAGGGCCCCCAUGAUGCCGAAAUUUAUGUGUGUUCAAGUUCUUGUGUAAAUGUGAUAGAAUUUGCUGGUUACUACACAUAGCCUCCUGGAGAGGGACCUUCAUCUCCAGAUGACUUACCAUGCCUCUUGUGUUUACUUAGGUGUCUACCAUAGUAACACAUAGCAAAGUCAGAACCGAUGCAUCUCACAGCUGUUCACACAGCUCUAAUCACCACAACGCCAGAGCCUCAGAAAGGGAGAGGGCCAGUGGACAGGCCUUAGAAUUUGACUAUUAAUGGGAUGUUAAACGGGUUUUGGGUAUGGGACUUGGGAAAAUUGGUUAUUCAAUAUAGACCUUUUGGGAGUGGCUUAUAAAAGAUAUCCCAGAGAAAUCUUGUACCCUUUACAUCCCUUGCCUAUGCAGCAAAAAGAAGGCCCAAUGACCCAGGAAGUGAGCCCCAAGAGACACUGACUUUAUAGGCACAAUGGUCUUAGACUCUGUACCCUUCCAAACUAUAAGAGGCACAUCCCUCUUCACAGGAUGGAAACACUGUCUUAUUAUACAUCAUGCUAUUUUCUUUGUACUGGAGUUAGUACACUAUACUGACUUGGUGGUUGGUUUAUUUUUCUUUUCUUUUUUCUUUCUUCUUUUCCUUUCUUUUUCUUUCUUUUCUUUUCUUUUCUUUUUCUUUUUUUGACAAGGUUCUGCUAUCUGCCCAAGGCAAAUUUUGAACCCUCCUGCCUUAGUCUCCUAAGUGUUGGACUGCAGAUGUCCAUUACCUUAUUGGCGGUUAAUUGAAAUUUUAAGUUUUAAUUUCCAAACACUAUAUGCAUAAUUACAAAAUACUUGUCUCAGAGAGGAAAGAGUGAUCCCAGCUAUAUUAAAAUUCAUUCUGAUAAAUAGAUGGCUCGAGUUAAAAUCUGCCCUUUGUAUUUAAUAUACUUGUUAAUACCCAUUAGCGCUGUCCCUGUGACAUUUCCAGUUACACACGUAUUGUGCCCUGCUUCCUCUUGCCCUCUCUUAUUGUUUCUCCCUGGGGUUCCCCUGCUUGCCCGUUUUCCAUGUCUGACUUAACUUUACAUAACACAGUACUCCCCCCCAUCCACCAACUUCUUUGCAAAUGACACGAGAUUAUUAUUCUUUAUGCUUGAAUGAAUAUGUGUAUAUUUACCUAUGUACAUGUAGAUUCAACAUAUAUUCCAUAAUUGCUUUGUCCAUUCCAAUGUCACCUAGGGUGCUUCUGUACUUUGUCUGUUGUGAAUAUCUCCACAGUAAGUGUGGCUGUCCUGCAUACUCAUGAGUACUCCAGAGUGUCCCUGAAUGGUACAACUGGAUUGGACGGUGGCCCUACUGAUUCUUGUUGAGGAGAGGACAGCUGUCAUGACUCUGGGGAGGUGGAAUCUCACAUGGUUUGGAACUGCACUUUUAAUGACUGAAGUCCUUGUGAGUGUUCACAGCUCCUACUAUAGCGAUCGAUCGAGGCAGUUGGACCACCGUGGGAGGGCUUCCGGUCACACUGAAGAGCCCGUUCCAGAAGGGGCUGGACUGCCAAGGAUCUGCAGCUGCUGUUGGAGCUGCCCCUGGUCAGGAGAGGGAAAAGCAGAACAACCCCUGGGGAAACACGAUAAAAACACGGAAAUUGUAGGAAAAUCACUAGCAGUUGUCUGGCUCUUUUUUCUGUGUCAACGGGCUUUUGUUUAAUGUUUUAGGUAUCUGAACGGCACCACGGAGGCUUUUGUUUGGUUUCCCUCUAAUUAAAAAUAGCCAGCGCUCCACAGUAUGGUUGUAACAGUAAAGAUGAGAGAAGAAAAUGAUAGGGGAAUUCUAAGCUAACAUAAACUCUCCUAUCCUGCACACAGUUCCUGGAAGAGAUUCCUCAUCAGCUUAAAAAGAUUUUUUUGGGGUGGGGGGUGCUUGUACUUAGUGAUCAAACACAUUUACAAUUUUCGGUUUUCUACACUAUGGGAUUGUUUUGCUAUGAGAGUCGUCUUGUGGUAAUUUUAAAAGGGAGUUUAAGCACGAGCCUGUUUUUCUCAAAUGUUCUAGUAACAUUUUGAAAAUUCUUUAUGCCCAAAUACAAUGUAAGAUUUGAUUUGGCUUGUAUAUGCACUCAGUCUAUUCUGGUUUAAUACUCAUUUGACUCAAUAGUCUCAUGGUUCAUGAUGUCCUAGGAAACUGUCCCCUGAAGCCAAGAGUUCCUCCAUCUGGGAAAUAAACGCAGGUGCAGAUC
Molecule: non-coding RNA, 7651 nt
Organism: Rattus norvegicus (Norway rat)
Lineage: Eukaryota; Metazoa; Chordata; Mammalia; Rodentia; Muridae
Source: RefSeq, a predicted model, not a curated record